Molecule: long non-coding RNA, 492 nt
Organism: Populus trichocarpa (black cottonwood)
Lineage: Eukaryota; Viridiplantae; Streptophyta; Magnoliopsida; Malpighiales; Salicaceae
Exons: 2
Source: RefSeq, a predicted model, not a curated record
UUAUUGAAAGAAUUUUUUACCUCGUUAUAUUUGGAGGCAGAGGUAGUGAAGCAGACCCGUGAGACUUUAGGCGAGGAAAUGGGGAAGAGAGAAGGGGGCUGGGGGAAGAAGGCUUUUGCGAGAUUGAGCAUAGCGUUUCUGGUUAUAUGGUGCCAAGAAGAGAAGGUGGCUGGGUUUGUUUGAAGUACACGAUGGGGGUAGUUCAUGCCACGUCUAGGAUACGUUGAAUAUGUUAUUUAACCUCGUCGGUAGAUAAUGGAUGGUUUACCAGGCAACACAUGUUCCCUUGAGAGGUUUUUUUUUUUUUUAAUGAAAAUGAUCGCAGAUAUGUUUUCCAUAGUUAUCAAAUCCAAAGUAAAUUGGAAAAUCCACUAGAUAAAUCGUCGGUUUGGAGUCUUGGUUGGAUUGCUGGUCUACAAAUUGAACAAUUAAAACUUGAUUGGUCCAAGUAAAAUACACUAAUGUGUAUGUUUGGCUUUGGUUUAGAGGUUA